This is a long non-coding RNA of Portunus trituberculatus (swimming crab), 1687 nucleotides long. RefSeq lists it as uncharacterized. The transcript is spliced from 3 exons. NCBI's taxonomy places the organism in Eukaryota, Metazoa, Arthropoda, Malacostraca, Decapoda, Portunidae. The record is from RefSeq and is a predicted model, not a curated record.
GGGGUCAGCGGGCAGAUGGCGGUGGUGUGGUGGGACGGCUGAGGCCCGCAGCUCCGCCUCCCGCUUCAGUCGUGCCCGAGACACCAAGUCGUUGGGAUCUGCUCCCGCGUCAGGACGCGCCCACCCUCUCCCACUGAAUGGUUCUCGGCACUUUAAGACUCCUUGUCUUUGUGGUGUCUGAUAAGAAGCGGCUCGUCAUUAACUCCGACUAAUUAUACAGUUCGUCUCCCUGCACGGCGGUGGUCUUCCUGCCCCGGGUCCCUCUUAAUCAUGUAGUGAUGGUCCCUCGCGGAGAAGCCGCCGCAGGGGCUUGUCCCGACGUGGCAUUCGACAGUGUCGAACAAGUGGCCGGUCGAGCUCGGGGCUGCGGUGGGGAGUGUGGGGCGUUACAGACACCUGGUGAGCGUGAGUGUGGGUGCGCUCAGUGGUGCUGUGUGGCGUGCAAACUUCACCGUCAGGGAUUAUCUACCAUCACUGCACAAACCACUGCCCGCUGCCCGCUGCCCUCAGCACUCCGUUUAAAUUAACUCCCCUCACCUUAACUCUAGGCCAACUUCGCCGAGAUAUUUUCGCCGCCACUGGACGCCUUUUCCUAGCGCGGCAGAGCAACUCCAGCGGAACACCCGUGCAGGAAGUGGGGAUCUGUUGUACGACCUCCAUGGUAUUGUCGGUCGGCAGGGAAGGAUCAACGCGCCAAGCUGCCGCUGAUGUAACCACGCACGUGUUGGUCCCGGGGCCGAAACCCCUGCCCAGUAUGUGAGGCACCAAACAUCCGCCAUGACACGCCAAGCAGCGGCUCCAAGAGGGAGACGCGGGCCACGCACUCCGUCUCGUCUCUCGAGGACUGUGUAUUCUGCCUCCCCGUCUCACCAUCCACCGAGAGCUGUGUCCUGAUAGAUUCAUACCUAGUAGUCCCCCACAGUGCUUUAACUUUUCUUAUCAUAAUCGUUAAUCUACACUGAACCUGAUGUCCAACAUACCUUCAACGUGCCCAUCUUCCACAAAAAAGUGACCACUCCCAUCUUUCAAACUACCUGGAGGCGGCUUGACUUCCUGCCAUUACGAAACCUUAAAGUCCAGCCUCCCUUGGAAGCGCGCCAAGCAUCCAUCAAUUCAUAACUGUCCAUUUGAUCGACAGCGAGGAUUUCGCAAUAUUACAUCAAAAUUUCUCUUAGGAGUUUCAGCAAUUUUUUCAUUUACUGCUUUACUCAUUUAAAACAUCUUGCAGAUUUUACUAUAAAUCUUUGAAUUUCAAAAUAACUUUAUAAUUUUUAUCCCUCCAUUAGAAACUACACAAUUUUCAUUCCUUUCUGUAAGAUGCAUAGCUGCUUUAACAAAGAAUCAGUCACUGGAAGUUCACACACAUUUACACUGCAGACCAGCAUGACUGUAUAGUCUGGUGCCACCGCUCAUCCUGCCACUAAUGUGUAAUCUUACUUAACUUUGGUGUCCUAUGCACUGUACAUAUUCCAAAUCGAGUAACUAACACCUUGCAAUUUGCCAGCGCUAUAAUCAGACGAUAAUCUCAACAGGAAUUGCAUCACUCGAAAGGACGCCGCACAAUGCCUUACCUCUGAUCUUUCAAUAAUCUCUAAAAAGAAUGGUAAGACUCUGGCAGACUGAAAUGCCUUGAGCUAAAUUCCUUCAUUAAUGACAACUUGCAACCAUAAAAACAACUUUUUCCUCU